CACGUAGGGCGCGAGCGUUGUCCGGAAUUAUUGGGCGUAAAGAGCUCGUAGGCGGCCUGUUGCGUCCGCUGUGAAAGCCCGGGGCUUAACCCCGGGUCGGCAGUGGAUACGGGCAGGCUAGAGGUAGGUAGGGGAGAAUGGAAUUCCCGGUGUAGCGGUGAAAUGCGCAGAUAUCGGGAGGAACACCGGUGGCGAAGGCGGUUCUCUGGGCCGAUACUGACGCUGAGGAGCGAAAGCAUGGGUAGCGAACAGG
Molecule: ribosomal RNA, 253 nt
Filed under: uncultured bacterium
Lineage: Bacteria
Description: partial 16S ribosomal RNA
Rfam family: Bacterial small subunit ribosomal RNA
Source: RNAcentral